GGGGGAGGAGGGAGGAGGGAGGCAAGCUAGCCUAAGUUAGGGCCUAAUUGGUUUAGCUUCUUUGGAAGUAGUGAUUUUGAAUCAGAGGUGAGUCAACAGAUGUUCCUUUUUCAACUCAUAAUAUCUUAGUUCAUUUUAGAGUAACCUCACCGAAGAGAGGUUCCUUGCAAACAUUUGUUUGGCAAAUCUUUUCCAUGGAAUAACCUUUUAACUAAAAGCUCUAGCUAAUAGAUCCUUGACGGGGAAAAAUAAUAAAAUAAAAUUUGGUGAACCCUAUAGAAACCACUAUUUGUCAAUCUUAAUGGUCCUUUUUUUAACACUGAUGACUCUAAUGGUCCUCGCAAGUGGCCCUCGGCCACCCAAUAGACUAUAUAGAAAAUCUGUAUGCGAGACAAAUAUGUACUAUGAGAUAAGAAAAAGUAUAUUAGUGGUCUAAUAGAUGAUCUAAUGAACUGCCCAGUAGUCUUAAUACUAUUUAACAGACAAUCCCUCCAAAGUAUUGUGAGUUAUUUUUUAAGUUGUCUAAUAGUAUACUAUUGAUGCUCAUUAUUGACAUACUUUUAGAGCUAUUUAACUAGUGUUUUCAUGCAUAUUCUUAUACUAAC
Molecule: long non-coding RNA, 605 nt
Filed under: Setaria viridis
Lineage: Eukaryota; Viridiplantae; Streptophyta; Magnoliopsida; Poales; Poaceae
Description: long non-coding RNA (SVIR_LNC000834)
Source: RNAcentral